This 1384-nucleotide ribosomal RNA is filed under the name Ceratomyxa lunula. RNAcentral's name for it is "SSU rRNA". It matches the Rfam family "Eukaryotic small subunit ribosomal RNA", at positions 381 to 1713 of the family's 1831-position model. The record is from RNAcentral. Lineage: Eukaryota; Metazoa; Cnidaria; Myxozoa; Bivalvulida; Ceratomyxidae.
UUCCGGAGAGGGAGCCUGAGAAACGGCUACCACAUCCAAGGAAGGCAGCAGGCGCGCAAAUUACCCAAUCCAGACAUUGGGAGGUAGUGACGAGAAAUACUGGGGAUGUUCUAUUGGAAUGUCACCCGGGAUGAACGUAGCAUAAAACAUUCGAUGAGGAUCUACUGGAGGGCAAGUCUGGUGCCAGCAGCCGCGGUAAUUCCAGCUCCAGUAGUGUAUAUCAACAUUGUUGCGUUUAAAACGCUCGUAGUUGGAUUACAGGGUGUCGAAUGGCUCGCGCUUGUUAGCCGGGUCAGUUUGGGGAGAUUGAGGAGUUGGAGACAAUGAAUCAGGAUCGCCGAAUGACGCCUUUUUUCGCGCCGGCCCUGACAUUUGCUUGAUUGGAGGUGUCAGACGCUGGCGGAGUGUGCCUUGAAUAAAGCAUAGUGCUCAAAGCAGGCGUACGCUCGUGUGUAAUAGCAUGGAACAGAUAGUCGAUCUUAAGGACGACAUCACGGUGAAAACUGUGUGUUGUUUUGUCUCGCUUUGUUGGUUGUGAGACGGGUCUCGUUGGUUAAAAGGGACAUUUGAGGGCAUUGGUACUUUGUGGCGAGAGGUGAAAUUCUUAGACCCACAAAAGACUGACUGGUGCGAAAGCGUUUGUCAAGAAUGUUUUCAUUAAUCAAGAACGAAGGUCAGAGUUUCGAAGACGAUCAGAUACCGUCCUAGUUUUGACAGCAAACGAUGCUAGCACAGAGUCAGCUCGUCCGCCCUUGGUUGGGACGUGAUAGGUUGGCUCUGCCGGGAAACCUAAAGCUUUCGAGUUACGGGGAGAGUAUAGCUUCAAGGCGGGAAUUUAAAGAAAUUGACGGAGAGGCACCACCAGGAGUGGAGCCUGCGGCUUAAUUUGACUCAACACGGGGAAACUCACCAGGUCCAGACAUUGGUAGGAUUGACAGGCUGGUAGACCUUUCAUGAUUCGAUGGAUGGUGGUGCAUGGCCGUUCUUAGUUGGUGGAGUGAUCUGUCAGGUCUAUUCCGGUAACGAGCGAGACCGCGGUCAGUAGUUUCGGAUGCUCGAUUGGCAGAAAUGCCGAUCCAGUUAUUUGACUACUGGGACAACUGGACUUUAAGCCAGGGGAAGCGCGGCAAUAACAGGUCUGUGAUGCCCUUCGAUGUCCUGGGCUGCACGCGCGCUACAAUGGCAGCAGAAGAGGGUGGCUGAUCAGAGAUGGUUGGCUAAACUGUGAAUGGCUGUCGUGAUUGGGAUUGUGCCUUGAAAUUAUUGCACAUGAAAGAGGAAUUCCUCGUAAGCACUGGUCAUCAGCCAGUGUUGAAUACGUCUCUGCCUCUUGUACACACCGCCCGUCGCUACUACCGAUUGAAUAUCAUUUAGAGCUGGCUGG